This 253-nucleotide ribosomal RNA is filed under the name uncultured bacterium. RNAcentral describes it as "partial 16S ribosomal RNA". It matches the Rfam family "Bacterial small subunit ribosomal RNA", at positions 524 to 776 of the family's 1533-position model. The record is from RNAcentral.
GACAGAGGGGGCAAGCGUUGCUCGGAAUUACUGGGCGUAAAGGGCGCGUAGGCGGGAUGGCAAGUCGGUCGUGAAAUCCCUCGGCUCAACUGAGGAUCGUCGAUCGAUACUGCCGGUCUUGAGGAUUGCAGAGGAGACUGGAAUUCCCGGUGUAGCGGUGAAAUGUGUAGAGAUCGGGAGGAACACCGGUGGCGAAGGCGGGUCUCUGGGCAAUUCCUGACGCUGAGGCGCGAAAGCGUGGGGAGCAAACAGG